This is a long non-coding RNA of Hirundo rustica (Barn swallow), 1398 nucleotides long. RefSeq lists it as uncharacterized. The transcript is spliced from 3 exons. The record is from RefSeq and is a predicted model, not a curated record. NCBI's taxonomy places the organism in Eukaryota, Metazoa, Chordata, Aves, Passeriformes, Hirundinidae.
CUCCCACCCCCGAGCCCGCGGGAUCAUCCCGGCGCAUUCCCAGCCGCCGCUGGGAUCGAUGCUGCUCCGUAGCCACAGCAACGCCCGGACAAGCCGAGGAUGCAGCGGGAGCCAGCACCCAGACCUGCGUUUGGGAGUGGAGGGAGAGAGGAAAAACCGCUCCAAGGUCACCUGGGCAGGCGACAAACACCCAGCACAGAACCUGCUGGGGGAGCCCCACGUUCCAAGAAUUCCCGAUGAGAGCAGGGAUUUUUAAAAGCCGGCGCGGAAACCCAAAAAUGCUGCAGGAAAUCAGGGUCGGUCUGCAGUGGAACAGCCUUGGGAGGGAAUUCCGGAAUUCUGGAAUUCCCUGAGCAGUCCGGAGCGAGGGAUGGCACCAACGGGACCAACACAGGGCGGGUCGUGCUCUGCCGGAAUUCCCAGCACACGGAAUCCCCUGCUGGAAGAUCCCACGCUUUUCCUGGAUCCAGGAUCGGGAAUAUCCAUCCUGCUACCCUUAAUGAGCUCCCCCCAAUUAACCCGGGCAUUAAUUACACCCCCCACACUUCGGGGCUGAGUCAUUCCGGAUCGAACCUUCCCAAUCCCACACCGAAAUCCCGAGAGGGAAGCGCUGCCCUCAUCCCAUCACACGGAACCCCAACAACCCCCAAACACCCGGAAAUGCCCCCAAACGCCCCCAUAGACCCCAAAACACCCCAAAAUGCCCCCGCAGACCCUCCCACAACCCCGAAAUCCCCCCAAACACCCCGAGAUUCCCCCCCAAAACACCCCGAGAUCCCCCCAAACGCUCCCAUAGAUCCCAAAAUUCCCUCAAACACCCCCAAAUGCCCCAAACAUCCACACAGACCACAAAAUGCCCCCAAACACCCCAAAAUGUUCCCCAAACACCCCCCUAGACCCCUAAAUUCCUUUUAAAUCCCCCCCGAAAUGCUCCCCAAACGCCCCCAUAGACCCUUAAAUACCCCUAAAUACCCCCCCAAACACCCCCUCAGACAUCUCCACACGCCCAUAAACUGCCCACAGACCCCCGAACACCCCCAUAGAUCCACCCAUGCGCCCCUAAACCGCCCCAAAACCACCCCCGUGCCCAUAAAGACCCCCCCCCUAAACAUACGGGGACGUAAAGAUCCCCGCCACAAACCCCUUUUUGAGCGCCACAAACCCCUCGCACAGACAUCCCCCCUCACCUUUACACCCCCUCAGAGCCCUCACGCACACCCCCGCAACGAAGGAAGCUCGGCGUCCCACCAACACCGCGGCACCUCUCCCUCUCUCUACACCGCCCCAAAUCCACAUCUUCCCCCGUUCCCGGGACCCUCCGGGAGCCCCCGAUCCCCUCAGGCCUCCCCCGGUACCUCCGGCCCGGCCGCUCCCGGCACCGUCGACCCCGCCCGACGA